Long non-coding RNA from Numida meleagris (helmeted guineafowl), 4084 nucleotides. RefSeq lists it as uncharacterized. The record is from RefSeq and is a predicted model, not a curated record. The transcript is spliced from 2 exons. NCBI's taxonomy places the organism in Eukaryota, Metazoa, Chordata, Aves, Galliformes, Numididae.
CCCCUCUGCUCCCUGUGAGGAGCUGCAGCCGCCAUGAGGCCUCCCCUCAGCUCCUCUGCUCUGGGCUGAGCAAACCAAGGAAUCUCUGCCACCUCUCGUAAGUCUUGCCCUCCAGACCCUUCACCAUCUUCUUAAGUUUUUCUAGUUCUGUGAGAAUUAUGGGGAGUCAUCACCCUGCGGGACACAUUCUGCUAAAACAACCCCAUGCUGGUGCACAACCACAAACAGCACAGGAAAUUAAUGGAAUGACUUCAUUGGUAAAAACGCACAUUAACUAAUCAGAAAGAUGACAACCUGUCACUACACAAAGCUUUCUGUCAUAUAUUCUGAAACAUAAGAAUUAGCAACAUGCAAACUCAGCAUGUCUUGUCACAAGAAGGAAAGUCCUGUUGUCUCAUGUUAAAUGGAAGCAGACAAUUGCAGCCCAUUGUGUAGAGCCUUUGACUCUUUCAGACAGAGUGUUACCCCAGCACACACACUAAGUCAAAACACAGUGAGCCCAACCCUGGUUAUAAGGACAAGGAUAAGCUCUGAAUUGAAAUGGCAUUAUGAAGUACACUUGUCAGCUUUCAGUAAGAAAAUAUUUCAGAUUAUUAGUAUAGUAUAUUAUUUGUAAUUGAUGUUAAGUCCUGAAAUCUUGGUAUUUCAAGAAAAGUACCUCAACUAUUUUACGGUCAGGAAACCUAUUAGGUUUUUCUGAAGUUGAUAUCUUCAACUACGUAUGCUGAAGGUUGAGCAAUGAAUCAUUUGAAUAUGAGAUAUUUUCAGGCCUAAUUUUGAGACAAGUCAUAAAUGAAGACUCCCAGUUCCUCAUAUUUUUCUCCAGUACAGAACAUGAGAUGAUACGAAUGACAAUUCAGCAGUAAGUAACAAUUUCUUAUGUGACUUUUUGUUUGUUUGACAAGAUGGGAAUAAUUGAUUAAUAAACUCUCAUUUUUCUCUUUGAGUUUAGUAUUGCAAAGGAUUUAAAUCCUUUUGGGCCAAGGUUGUGACAAUAAAUAAUGUAAAGAUAAAGUAAGACAGACUUGAGCAUUCUAGGAGUGAUACAAUUGAAUAUCUUUCCUUUAGUAUUUGAUGCUUAACUUUAACCACUUUAAGUGAUGCUCUAAUGCAAUCAGCAUGAAGAAAAUUAUGAGGUCUGCUUGACGUCAUGGAUAUUUUUAAUCAAGCUCACAUGUGUCUAACAGACUCUUCUGUUGAUGCUGACAGAGUUCGGUUCUGGUGGUUGCUGGUCCAUACUGGGGACAUGGUGUAGACGUGCCAUCCGAGGCUAAGCUUAAGAUUUCUUUUUAACUUAGAGAUCCAUCUUAAGUAAUGUUACUGUUAACAAAGGUUACAAGUGGCAACUCCAGCUGUUUCAUUUUUUUGCUUCUUCCCUUUACUUAACUCUGGGAUAUCCCUCUCUGGGACAAGAAGGACCCUUUCUAGAUGCUCUCUCCUUCCACAUGCCCUCGCAGUGAUCACUCAGCCCUGCGAUCAGUGAGUGAAGAGUGAAACACUCUGCAUACCCCCUGCCCUCCCUGGGAGCUUGGUUCAAGCCAGCACAGUACUUGCACAGGUGAAAAGCUCCUUCCACAGCUGUCAGGCACACCAUGCAUCAAUGGGAAGGCCUGUUGUAUUCCAUUGCACAUAUUGCAAAGAAAUGAAAACUUGCUUGUAAAUGUCAAUAUUUCACAGUCCCCUCCAUACUACAGUCAUCAUAGUCAAUCAUUUAGUGCCCAGAAGGGAAACAAAACCUUCUUCAUUGGUUCUUACAUGCACACAAAUUUGUUUGCAACUCAUCUCGGUUUUUAAGGAGGUAAAACUGCAGGACACACUGCGUUUCUAUAGUUGGGAAGUUAUAUGUGUGGCUUAUUUCAGCAAUAAACAGGUCUAAAACUGGGCAAAAGGAAAAUCUGAGAGCACUGUUGUGUUGUCCAGUGCAUGCAGGCAACCUCCACCAAUGUGAGAUGAGGAAGAAAACUGGCAGGGUGACAAGGAACACAGGGAAGAAGAGAUCAGGUAACAUGCCAGAAGAAAUUGGAGUGAAGGUGAGAUCUGGGACAACAGGUAUUUCUGAAUUCCCUUAGAAAGAAUUACGUACAAUUUUAACUACGUACAUAACUGUGCACAUGUAUUUUACAGUUGUUGCUAUUAAAAAAAAAAGAUCCUUUAGGAGACAACUAUACAGCACCGCUUCUUCCUCUUCUGUGCUAGCCAAUGUAGAAGGUAAGUUGGAAUAGAAAAUAAAUGGCUGCGUAGUUUUGGGGAAGGGUAAGACUUCCUGAAAAUGCACAAAUGAGCUUAAAUAUAUGCAAAAAUGUAUUACAAUGCAAGACAAAAGUGUAGGAAAUAGUUUUAUCCUCCCUGUUGCUGGCUGAAGGCUUUUUCUUGCUUCAGAGCCAGAUGCUGGCAAUUCCUGCCUCUUCCUAAAACAGUUUCUUCUUAAAACAUCAACAAAGCCAACAAAACCAACCAAUCAAAUGAGAAAUAAUGUAUUUGAAGCACUGCUGACAAAAUUCAUACUGCUAAAAACAACAGCAUGGGUGAAAGGGUUAAAAGACAAGCACUGCUCCUAACCCUGCGCCAUGUUUCUCCAUGUAUACCUUUCUGAAAAUUAUGCAGUUUGAAGUCCUAAGCUUACCCAAAUUUCAGGGACUUCCAGACAAAGGUCUUGGCAGAGCACUCCAGCCCAGCCCAGCCCAGGCUGCUGGGGAGAGUGAGCAUUCAUUUAUAGUAACUGUUCAUAGGAAAGCCUGCAAUUUGAGUCGCUAUUUCCUCUUUUCUUCAAUGGGAAUGAAAAAGAAGAGUGGUGGGACCUGAAAGUAUCAUUGCCUGCUCUUUGCCAUGUCUCAGUGACCAUCAGCUGCGCUGCACUACCAUGCCCUUCCCAUGCAGGGCAGCCGCCCACCUGCAGCAGGAGAAAGGAACUGUUCAGUCAGCAGAAGAAGAGGCUUGGGGAGACCUCAUCACUCUCUACAACAGCCUGAAAGGAGGUUGUGGUGAGGUGGGGAUCAGCUUCUUCUCCCAGGUAACAGCGACAGGAUGAGAAGUAAUGGCCUUAAAUUGCACCAGAGGAGGUUUGGGUUGGAUAUCAGGAAAAAUGUAUUCUCAGAAAGAGUGGUGAAGCCUUGGAACAGGCUGCCCAGGGAGGUGGUGGUUGAACAACUGAAGGUGUUCAAUAAUCGUGUAGAUGAGGCAUGUGGGAACACAGUGGCCAUGGUGGGGAUGGGUUGGUGGUUGGACUAGAUGAUCUUAGAGGUCUUUUCCAACCUUACUGAUUCUAUGGAAAACAUUAAAUCCUGAAAGUUAUGUGUACUGAGGACUGUUAAAUACUUGGACAACUCAGGAAUCAUGGAGUUACAAACUGCACAGGAAUCAAAGAUUGUGCUGCAGAAGAGUCAGCAGGCACUUGGCCAGCUCCAUACCUGCCUCUAAGCCACUCAACUGUUAACUGCUCACGAUGUGGCUUUUGCUUUGUCCCAAUGGAGAUGUUCUUAAGUUUAGGAGUUGGACUCAACAAUCUUUCUGGAUCCUUUCCAACUUAGGAUAUUCUAUGAUUUUACAAAAACAUGUUAUAUGCAUCUGACAUAAUGCGUUAUGUUUGCAUGUCAGAGGACAAGCAUAAAACGUGCUGGAUUUAGCAGGAAAACUGAAAGAGACAGCAGUGUGAAGACUGCCCUCCAGAAGCAAGCAGAUGUACGGUCUGUCCUCUGUAACACCAGCACAGUCCCAUGCAGGUCCAUAAGAAACAGAUGACAAUUUGGAUGUGCUACGGUGCUCAUUCCAGCUAAAUAAAACUGACAGUUGAGAAAGAGGAAACACAUAAGGCGAUGUGAUUUCUUCUCACUCAGCUGAACUGACAGUCCUGAGAAAUGUUAAUUACUGGGCCAGUAAUCAAAUGUCAUAAACAGUUACACUAGACUAGGAAAAAAAGACUUCUAAUGUCAUUCCAAAUGUGUGGUAGAUUUAAUUAUCUUCUCAGAGUUAUCUCAACAGAAGCAUGGGUUUCAAUACAGGGAUACAAAGACAUCUACUGCUUCAAUUCUAUGAUUGGAAAUAAGUCUAAAAGAUAAAAGAAAAGUUUAUGGGAAGACUUCACAAG